Long non-coding RNA from Ictalurus punctatus (channel catfish), 1084 nucleotides. Lineage: Eukaryota; Metazoa; Chordata; Actinopteri; Siluriformes; Ictaluridae. The record is from Ensembl.
GUCAGUUGCUGACGCAGAUUGACACGUCAUUUCUUCUCUUGUCGAAAGAAGGGUUUGUUUUUUUUAGUAAUCAAGGACAAGCCGAGGAUGAGAAUACGAUUGCAAGAUACCGUAGAAUAAGAAAACAUUAUAUUUGAAGUAAGUUUUAAGAUUAAGCAUCAGGUUUGUUUGCCGAAUAACUUUUAUGAGACCUGUAUUAUUUGGACAGCACAUAUAAAUGAGGCGAUAUAAGCGUGGGACCAUUUAGUUCCUUUUAUUAAACAACGUCCAACACCCUUUAACAACGUCUGUGCUCCCACAGCUUCAUCUCUGUAUCUCUGCCGAUUCACCACCACACUAUCCCUAUUAGCUCCGUAUAUCACUAACAGUAUAUACCAAGGGUGGGCAAUCUUAACCUGUGUUGCCCACCCCUGGCAUAUACGGUACUCUCUGUAUUACCAGGGCUAGCAAUGAUCAAACUGCUAACUUAGACUGGUAGGUGAUUUAAAUGUACAGUUAUGAAAAUGAGGAUUUGUAAUUAAGAUAUAAAUGUUGGUAAUUGGAUGAUUACCUCCAAUUACCAUCUGUAAAGCUGCUUUGAGACAAUGUCUAUUGUAAAAAGUGCUAUACAAAUAAAAUUGAAUUGAAUUGAAUUGAAUUGAAUUGGAUUAGACGUAACCAUAGACUGUCAUAUUUUCGCACAGGAUCAAUUAAACAUGAAAAGAAGGGAGAGAUAUCAGAGUUCUUUUUUAAAUAAGCACAAACAGGCAGAUCAGGUGCAAACGGCCCUGUCUGCUUCAUGCCUGCUAUGUCUAACUGCAGUGUGUGGGUUUUUUUUUUUUUGUGUGUGUAAAUAAACUCAGCAGUUCAUGUAACAGAUUCAUGCUACUGUAUCUUAUCUCCCUGGUGCUUAAGAUUUAUUUUCUGAAAAUAUUUUGGAUGUUUGACACUUACACAGGACACAAACAGGGUGACCCAAUUUUUUCCACUAUGUGAGUACAGUGUGUGUGUGUGUGUGUGUGUGUGUGUUAACGUGUCCUGUCACAAAAUGCGGUGAAAACUCCCACAUGACGUUAAUAGUGUGAUUAAGGUGUGUACAUGUCUG